Molecule: ribosomal RNA, 305 nt
Filed under: uncultured bacterium
Lineage: Bacteria
Description: bacterial SSU rRNA
Rfam family: Bacterial small subunit ribosomal RNA
Source: RNAcentral
CCUACGGGACGCAGCAGUGGGGAAUAUUGCACAAUUUUUUUAACCCUUAUUCCUCUACUCCUCUUUCUUUCCUCAUUCUUUCUUUAUUUAAAUCUCUUUCAUCAUUUAAUAAUAAAGACGGUACCUGACCAAGAAGCCCCGGCUAACUACGUGCCAGCAGCCGCGGUAAUACGUAGGGGGCAAGCGUUAUCCGGAUUUACUGGGUGUAAAGGGAGCGUAGACGGCAGGGCAAGUCUGGAUGUAAAGUCAUGGGCCCAACCCCUGGACUGCUCUGGAAACUGUCCGGCUGGAGUGCAGGAGAGGUA